CAGUAGCCGCGGGAACACGAAGGGGGCUAGCGUUGCUCGGAAUCACUGGGCGUAAAGGGUGCGUAGGCGGGUUUUUAAGUCAGAGGUGAAAUCCUGGAGCUCAACUCCAGAACUGCCUUUGAUACUGGAAGUCUUGAGUAUGGGAGAGGUGAGUGGAACUGCGAGUGUAGAGGUGAAAUUCGUAGAUAUUCGCAAGAACACCAGUGGCGAAGGCGGCUCACUGGCCCAUAACUGACGCUGAGGCACGAAAGCGUGGGGAGCAAACAGGAUUAGAUACCCCUGUAGUCCCUGUCUCUUAUAC
Molecule: ribosomal RNA, 301 nt
Filed under: uncultured bacterium
Lineage: Bacteria
Description: partial 16S ribosomal RNA
Rfam family: Bacterial small subunit ribosomal RNA
Source: RNAcentral